GUUUGAUCAUGGCUCAGGAUAAACGCUAGCGGCGUGCCUUAUGCAUGCAAGUCGAACGGUUCGCCGAAAGGUGAAUAGUGGCAAACGGCUGAGUAACGCGUAAGCAACCUGUCCUUAAGCGGGGAAUAAUCCGCCGAAAGGUGGAAUAAUACCGCAUGUGGUAGUGGGGGUAGGUUCCCAUUACUAAAGCUUUCGGGCGCUUGAGGAGGGGCUUGCGUCCUAUCAGGUAGUUGGUGGGGUAACGGCUCACCAAGCCAAUGACGGGUAGCUGGUUUGAGAGGACGUCCAGCCAGACGGGGACUGAGACACGGCCCCGACUCCUACGGGAGGCAGCAGCAAGGAAUUUUGCGCAAUGGGCGAAAGCCUGACGCAGCAACGCCGCGUGAGGGAAGAAGGCCUUCGGGUUGUAAACCUCUUUUAUCAGGGAAGAAAAAUGACGGUACCUGAUGAAUAAGUCACGGCUAACUACGUGCCAGCAGCCGCGGUAAUACGUAGGUGGCAAGCGUUAUCCGGAUUCACUGGGCGUAAAGAGCGCGUAGGUGGUCCUUCAAGUCAGAUGUUAAAUCUCCUGGCUUAACUGGGAGCUGUCAUCUGAUACUGCUGGACUUGAGGGCGGUAGAGGGAGGUGGAAUUCCCGGUGUAGUGGUGAAAUGCGUAGAUAUCGGGAGGAACACCAGUGGCGAAGGCGGCCUCCUAGGCCGUUCCUGACACUGAGGCGCGAAAGCGUGGGGAGCGAACAGGAUCAGAUACCCUGGUAGUCCACGCCCUAAACUGUGGAAACUAGGUACAGGGAGUAUCGACCCUUCCUGCGCCGUAGCUAACGCGUUAAGUUUCCCGCCUGGGGACUACGGUCGCAAGACUAAAACUCAAAGGAAUUGAC
This 880-nucleotide ribosomal RNA is filed under the name uncultured bacterium. Its description in RNAcentral is "bacterial SSU rRNA". It matches the Rfam family "Bacterial small subunit ribosomal RNA", at positions 11 to 914 of the family's 1533-position model. The record is from RNAcentral.